CCUACGGGUGGCAGCAGUGGGGAAUAUUGGACAAUGGGCGAAAGCCUGAUCCAGCCAUGCCGCGUGUGUGAAGAAGGCCUUCGGGUUGUAAAGCACUUUCAGUGGGGAAGAAAGCCUUGGGGCUAAUACCCUCGAGGAAGGACAUCACCCACAGAAGAAGCACCGGCUAACUCCGUGCCAGCAGCCGCGGUAAUACGGAGGGUGCGAGCGUUAAUCGGAAUUACUGGGCGUAAAGCGCGCGUAGGCGGUCUGAUAAGCCGGUUGUGAAAGCCCCGGGCUCAACCUGGGAACGGCAUCCGGAACUGUCGGGCUAGAGUGCAGGAGAGGAAGGUAGAAUUCCCGGUGUAGCGGUGAAAUGCGUAGAGAUCGGGAGGAAUACCAGUGGCGAAGGCGGCCUUCUGGACUGACACUGACGCUGAGGUGCGAAAGCGUGGGUAGCAAACAGGAUUAGAUACCCCUGUAGUC
RNAcentral lists this ribosomal RNA (465 nucleotides) under Vreelandella stevensii. RNAcentral describes it as "partial 16S ribosomal RNA". It matches the Rfam family "Bacterial small subunit ribosomal RNA", at positions 338 to 795 of the family's 1533-position model. The record is from RNAcentral. Lineage: Bacteria; Pseudomonadati; Pseudomonadota; Gammaproteobacteria; Oceanospirillales; Halomonadaceae.